UACGUAGGUGGCAAGCGUUGUCCGGAAUCAUUGGGCGUAAAGCGCGUGUAGGCGGCUGGCUAAGUCCGCUCUGAAAGCCCGGGGCUCAACCCCGGGAGGCGGGUGGAUACUGGUCAGCUCGAGUCCGGAAGAGGAGUGUGGAAUUCCUGGUGUAGAGGUGAAAUUCGUAGAUAUUAGGAAGAACACCAGUGGCGAAGGCGGCUCACUGGCCCGGUACUGACGCUGAGGCGCGAAAGCGUGGGGAGCAAACAGG
RNAcentral lists this ribosomal RNA (253 nucleotides) under uncultured bacterium. Its description in RNAcentral is "partial 16S ribosomal RNA". It matches the Rfam family "Bacterial small subunit ribosomal RNA", at positions 524 to 776 of the family's 1533-position model. The record is from RNAcentral.